GGAUCGGCCUCGAUGGAUGAUGGCGGCCCUGGUGGUGGUGGAAGGCGCGUGGUAGGCUCGGAGGAGAGGGUGACGCGCUACACCCUCCUGCUCGGUUGCUUGCUUCCUCCGUCUUGCGCCGGCCCUCGUUGAUCGCGCCGUCGUGCUGCGGGACCGCACGUGCUUCGCCUUCGUGACGAUGACGCAUGAGCGCAUCGUCUCUCAUCCAACGCUGGCGCGAGGUCGAUGGCCAUCGGACCCACACAGCCAUGCCCAGUUAGCCUCGACCUCCCUUGCAUACGUUUCCCGAGCUUAGGAGGCCCUGCCAGGCUGCCACAGAGGGCCGCCGCCAUCUGCUAUCGCUGCGACCGUCGUCUCGGCUGCCCGCGCCACCGUGCGCUCCCUGUCCUGCGUCCGUGACAGCGCCCCCUGGAAGGUGAACAUUGGAAGCUCCUGUUUUUAAUGAAGCCAAUAAGGAUGUAAUUUAAAGAACAUCUGCAUGUUUUGCGAGGGAGGGAGGACUGACUGUCUACUUUAGGAGUUGUGCAGUGUGGGAACUCUGCUAACUUGGCAUGGUCGUGGAACGCUCUCUGAAUGCCGUCCUCUGUCCUCUCCAAAUUGCUCAUGACCGAUGCUUGGAUGGAGCUUUUUGAGAAGAUAGCGUGAGAGUCCUGGUUUGUGGGUGCAGAAAUUAAGAUUGUCUGGGAAGAUGAAGUGCUUCUAGAUCGAAUCGUAGAACAUAUUGAAUAUGAACUACUUGGAAUUUUGCUCUAACCUAUUAAUACUAUAUGACUUGUAUUUCCUAAAAAAUAUCGGAGUUGUGUUCCUUAUGACCUUAGCUACCAGGUCUGUUGUUUCGAUCUUUGUUCCAGGGGAGGAAUUAGAGGCUUUUCUACAAGCUCCUCAUUGACAAUGUCGAGGAAUUACUUCCUGUAGUGUACACACCAAUUGUUGUGAGGCUAGCCAAAAGUAUGAUUCCAUAUUUAGUCGUUAUCAGGGUCUUUAUAUUAUCAGCUUUCAGGAGAAGUUGGCAAGGUGUCCAUGUUCACAAGUGUUUUACUUGGCUGUGGAGGGGAAUGAUCAUUCAGGUGCUCAAGAUCUGGCCAGAGAGGAGCAUUCAAGUUAUCGUUGUUACUGACGUAUGACGGUGAACGGAUCUUGGAUGUCAGGGGUUGGGGAUCCCUGUUGGCAAGCUUGCACUUUACACUGCCCUAGGAGGAGUUCAUCCAUCUGCUUGCUUGUCAAUCACAUCGGAUGCCGGCACAAAUAAAUGAGGAGCUACUUACUGAUGAAAUGGAUUUUACAUGGGCUUGAGGCAUAGAAGGGCCAUGGGCCAGGCUUUGCAAUGAGGGGAACAGGAGUGAGCCUUGUGAAUCACAUCUAGGAGGAAUAAGCAAUCAUGCAGCAAGAGGAGUUCAUAUUAGAGUUUAGGAAGCCACCUACAGUGGGUGCCAGUGCUACAACAUGGAAGACAUUGGCUGCUUCAAGAGCAGUGAAGAAACUCUUGAGUCAUGUCAACACCCUCUUAAGAUUAUUAUUCUGAAGAUUUUGAAUAGCUAGGCACCUGAUACAAUAUCCUUGUUAUGUCACUUGUUACCAAUGAGGAAUGGGGGUUCCUGUACACAAUGACAGGUACGCGAACUGCAAGUUUCUAUAUCUAUUUUGCUAUUUAUCUUCUAUUAAAAGGAAUUGAACAUUCAGAUGAUAGAUAUUGGAUCAUGACCAUUUUACAUGAGACUGCUUGUAUUAGCUUGUGUAUUGGCUGAGCCUACAUGGCCUGAAAAUUCCAAGAGGAGGCAACUUUUUAGGUACUGGUUCUGUAAAGUUGAAAAAAAAUAAAAGUAUUCUGCACGGUUUAGUCCGUAACAUUCAUGUUAUAUUUUCCAGAAAAACUUUUAUGGACCUUGACCCCGUUGCUGUCUCUAAAAUAAAUUAGAAGAAGCUUGUCGCCCUGGAAGCGUUGC
Panicum hallii is the source of this 1943-nucleotide long non-coding RNA. RefSeq lists it as uncharacterized. The transcript is spliced from 8 exons. The record is from RefSeq and is a predicted model, not a curated record. NCBI's taxonomy places the organism in Eukaryota, Viridiplantae, Streptophyta, Magnoliopsida, Poales, Poaceae.